CGGUAUUAGCACCGUCAAAUACGCCGUCCUUAUAGCAGACGCCGUAAAAAACGCGCGUAAACCGUAAAAAACGCCGCAAAAAACGGCGUUUUAGUGUUUGUAAAAAGCGCCGCUUUUAACGCCGUCGGCUUGCCACAGGACGCCGUAAAAAACGCCGUUCUGAAUGCACAAAAGCGCGCGUUAUUUACGGCGUUUUCCUUGUAGUAUAAUGAGCCACGCUCGCUGAUUUCCACAGCCAGUAAUAAUGAACUGUUCUCAUCCAAUCAAUGAUGACCUGACUCAGACCAGACUAGUUUACAUCCGAGUUCGAUUGUUAUUUUAAUCACUCGAUUGGUUGGUUGGUUGAUAUGAAGAUGGCCAGGAGAAUCUUUAUUUUGCGUUGUCAGCAGAAGCUGAACAAUUGCACUCGACAGCUGACAGAAGAUUCUGGUGUACUACAAUCAACUUUAGUGAGGUAAGGAUUGCUUUGUUUCAGAUUAUAUAAAACAUGGGCGCUGUCCUGCAACCAUUUUUCUCCAACUGCAAUUAAACACACCUGAUUCAGCUAAUCAAGCCCUCAACAGCAUACUGGAAACUUCUAGUCCGGUGUAUUGCAAGUUGAGCUAAACUCUGCAGGACAGUGAUCUUCUACGACUGAGCUAGAAACAAUGUAGAGAAGCAUUGAAUGGGCGAGAGGAAGGCUGAUCACUGCACCAGAAGCAGACGAGUUACUCCAAGAUCUCAAUGAAUAUAUAGCAGAGGUACAAAAGCAUAGGCAGCAUGGACAACAAGCCAGUUCCAGUUAUCAGGCUCCACUCUGAUCGAGGUGCACCCCAUUACAGCAUCACCAGAGAGCAACUUUCUUUUCUGAGGACAUGUGGUUUUAGUCUUCCUUCAAUAGCAGAGAUUCUGCAAGUGUCUCUGGCUACCGUCAAACGCCGCAUGGAAGAGAUUCCAUUUGAAUCGCUCUCUGACUUAAUCUGAAAUAACCGAUGUAGAUCACAGACAUUGUGGAUGGAAAUGACCAGCUGGGAUCGGAGGCUGUCAGGGCACAGUUACGGGCAGGUGGAAAUCGUGUACAAAGACACAGAGUACGCAGGAGCUUGGUUCAAAUUAACCCAAUUGCAGCAGCACUACGGGCCAUGUCACAAAGACCACACAGAAGGUUGUACAGUGUUGCUGGUCCAAACUCCCUGUGGCACCUAGAUGGCAACCACAAAUUGAUAAGAUGGAGAAUUGUCAUUCAUGGUGUUAUAGAUGGCUACAGUCAUCUCAUAGUCUUUCUCCAUGCCUCAAACAACAACCACAGCAGCACUGUAAUGCCUUCUAGGGUCAGAACAGACCAUGGAGGAGAAAACCAUGAUGUCUGUGUGAUGUUGAACAUUUUCAGGGGCUCAGAGAGAGGCAGCGCAAUAAGAGGCAGGAGCGUUCACAACUAAAGAAUUGAGAGGCUCUGGGGUGACAUGUGGCGGGGAUUGACUAAUGUAUAUUACAAUCUCUUUCACUUCCUGGAGGCUGAAGGUAUCUCUGACAUAGACAAAGAAAUGCACAUAUGGGCUCUUCACUUUGUCUAUGUGCCGAGGAUCAACAGGUGUUUAUCAGCCUUUACUCAACAGUGGAACAACCAUGGGCUGAGAACAGAACAACACCAGACACCCAUGCAGAUAUUUGUUCGAGGCUGCCUGGAACAACAAGGACAGCGAACCACUGCAAUGGAAGAGAUCUUUGGCAGAACAGCUGGACCAGCAGAUGAACCUGUUCUUCAGGCACCGGCAGCAGAAUCAAGCUUGCAGGAGGCACCAGUGUUUGACUGGCCAGAGGGAGUAGCUGUUCCUCAAAGUGACUUCACAUUGGAGAGUGCUGCCUUAGAGCAACUUGUUGCACAAAUUAAUCCACUUGGUGGUUCAAGGGGACAACUCAGAGUGGAUGUCCUUCAAAACAUUUUAUCUCUUUUGAUGUCUCUGAAUCCCCAACAUUAAAGAAAAAUAAAUGGUUAUUUCUGUAAUCACAGAUUAUGGUCACCACUGACUAAUUAUAUGGACACUGAAUUUUUGGUGAGCCAACCACUGAAGUUUGUCGUGGGUGUGGAUAGAUCCACUUGAAGUUAUAUUUUGAGUAGCGGUUACAAUAUUUAAGUAUGGUUAAAGGGUUAGCUCACCCAAAAAUUAAAUUUGUCAUUAAUUACUCACCCUCAUGUUGCCCCAAACCUGUAAGACCUUUGUUUGUCCUCAGAACACAAAUUAAGACAUUUCUGGUAAAAUCCAAGGAUGAUCCACAUAAGCAGCAACGGUACUGCAUCUUUUGAUGUCCAGAAGGGUAUUAAAAGCCAUUGAUAGUGUUUCAACAAUAAUAUUAUAAAGUGACGUGAAUAGUUUUGGUGCGCAAAAACAAAACAACUUUUUCAACUAUCUAGUGAAGGACGAUCUCUGAACAAUAUUUCACGAAGCUUCAAUUCUUUAUGAAUCUUGUUUAGAAUUAAUCUCAUAUUUCAUCUAAAAUAUCUAUCAUUUGUGUUCUGAGAACUAACGAAAGUCUUACAGGUUUGGUACAUUAUGAGGGUGAGUAAUUAAUGACAGAAAUUUCAUUUUUGGGUGAACUAACCAUUUAGGAUGGCAUGAAAUUUUAAAGAAACAUCACCAAUAGCAUGUUCACCAUUUGGAACUUGAAAAUAAAAGUUUCUAUUUCCCACAUUAAGUGUCCUCUGA
Carassius gibelio (silver crucian carp) is the source of this 2684-nucleotide long non-coding RNA. RefSeq lists it as uncharacterized. The transcript has 5 exons. The record is from RefSeq and is a predicted model, not a curated record. Lineage: Eukaryota; Metazoa; Chordata; Actinopteri; Cypriniformes; Cyprinidae.